UACGUAGGGCGCAAGCGUUGUCCGGAAUUAUUGGGCGUAAAGAGCUCGUAGGCGGUUUGUCGCGUCUGCUGUGAAAACCUGAGGCUCAACCUCGGGCUUGCAGUGGGUACGGGCAGACUAGAGUGCAGUAGGGGUGACUGGAAUUCCUGGUGUAGCGGUGGAAUGCGCAGAUAUCAGGAGGAACACCGGUGGCGAAGGCGGGUCUCUGGGCCACUACUGACGCUGAGGUGCGAAAGCGUGGGGAGCGAACAGG
RNAcentral lists this ribosomal RNA (253 nucleotides) under uncultured bacterium. RNAcentral's name for it is "partial 16S ribosomal RNA". It matches the Rfam family "Bacterial small subunit ribosomal RNA", at positions 524 to 776 of the family's 1533-position model. The record is from RNAcentral.